UACAGAGGUGGCAAGCGUUGUUCGGAAUUACUGGGCGUAAAGGGCGCGUAGGCGGCCCUGUAAGUCCGCUGUGAAAGUCCGGGGCUCAACCCCGGAUCUGCCGUGCCGACUGUCAAACUCGAGGGCUGUAGAGGCAGACGGAAUUCCGGGUGUAGCGGUGGAAUGCGUAGAGAUCCGGAGGAAGACCGGUGGCGAAGGCGGUCUGCUGGGCAGUUUCUGACACUGAGGCGCGACAGCGUGGGGAGCAAACAGG
RNAcentral lists this ribosomal RNA (253 nucleotides) under uncultured bacterium. RNAcentral's name for it is "partial 16S ribosomal RNA". It matches the Rfam family "Bacterial small subunit ribosomal RNA", at positions 524 to 776 of the family's 1533-position model. The record is from RNAcentral.